This 490-nucleotide ribosomal RNA is filed under the name uncultured bacterium. RNAcentral describes it as "partial 16S ribosomal RNA". It matches the Rfam family "Bacterial small subunit ribosomal RNA", at positions 30 to 507 of the family's 1533-position model. The record is from RNAcentral.
AUUGAACGCUGGCGGCAGGCCUAACACAUGCAAGUCGAACGGUAACAGGGAUCAGCUUGCUGAUUCGCUGACGAGUGGCGGACGGGUGAGUAAUGUCUGGGAAACUGCCUGAUGGAGGGGGAUAACUACUGGAAACGGUAGCUAAUACCGCAUAACGUCGCAAGACCAAAGAGGGGGACCUUCGGGCCUCAUGCCAUCGGAUGUGCCCAGAUGGGAUUAGCUAGUAGGUGGGGUAACGGCUCACCUAGGCGACGAUCCCUAGCUGGUCUGAGAGGAUGACCAGCCACACUGGAACUGAGACACGGUCCAGACUCCUACGGGAGGCAGCAGUGGGGAAUAUUGCACAAUGGGCGCAAGCCUGAUGCAGCCAUGCCGCGUGUAUGAAGAAGGCCUUCGGGUUGUAAAGUACUUUCAGCGGGGAGGAAGGGAGUAAAGUUAAUACCUUUGCUCAUUGACGUUACCCGCAGAAGAAGCACCGGCUAACUCCGUG